This 828-nucleotide unclassified non-coding RNA is filed under the name Hevea brasiliensis (rubber tree). Lineage: Eukaryota; Viridiplantae; Streptophyta; Magnoliopsida; Malpighiales; Euphorbiaceae. The record is from RNAcentral.
GGACAGCCUUCUUUAUACACAGAUAUCAAAUAUUGAAAUGAAUUGCUAAAUGUACAAGCUAAGGGGAGCCUAUAAUUUUGUGUAUAUAUGAAUACCUUUUCUAUAGUGGAUCUAUAUAAUUAUGUAUGUGUGUAUUUAUAGCGAGUUUACGUCGUUAUCCACAGAUACCGUAUCGUAUGAUGAAUAAGAAGCUGCCAGUAGUGCUGCUCCGAUACCCGAACCAUCUUCAGUUGGCUUUAAAAUAACAUGUGGGGCAAUCUCCUCUCCCAGUAUUUCAACCAAAGCUUCAUGUAGAUACUCUCUGAACAUUUUAUAGCUUGUAUAUAGACCUCCCUCAAUUGCAAUAACUGUUCGUCUAAGUUUGAUAUCAGUUCUACUUCUUCCACCAGCAAUUCCACUUGUCCCGUCCCGCCCUAUCUUCUUCAGGAUGCCCACAAUACCAGCAGCUGCCAAGCGAGCAGCUCUACGUGUCACAAUGUCGCAUAUUUUCACUACGAGCUUUCGAACCUUUAAAGGUAUAUCGGUGAUCUCCAAGAUGUCUUCAAAGAUCCGUGCCACUUCUGUUAACUCUGGGGAGCUAUCCUCAUGCAUUGCAGCCAUCAAUGGCGUUCUCAAUUUGAAGGGCAUCGAUAAUCGGGUAGAAGCAGGGCCAAAAACAUCAGAUUCUUGUGAUAUCCUCAGAACUACUCUCCUCACAAUAUCACCAAGAUACAUACCCGAUAUCAUUUUCUCAAAGCCCUGUUCACUGGGAUUGGGGCUAUCAGCAUCCAAAUCAAUAUCAUAAGUAGUUCUUGGUAAAUGAGAAGACCAGAAAUUUCCCCAUUCCAU